Molecule: unclassified non-coding RNA, 332 nt
Filed under: Hevea brasiliensis (rubber tree)
Lineage: Eukaryota; Viridiplantae; Streptophyta; Magnoliopsida; Malpighiales; Euphorbiaceae
Source: RNAcentral
GUUUUUGUGUUUUGGCUUGUUUGGUUGCUGAGAAAGCGUGAGAAAAGAAAAAGACAAUUUUUAACUUUUACUGUACUUGGGGUUGGGGUUCCUUUCGUGGCAGCUAUUGAGUUUAAUUCAGUUCUUGGGUUGGAUUCCAUGUUGAGGUGGGUUUGGUUUUUCUGUUUCUUUUUGGAACUUCUGCGAAUUUUUUAUUUUUGCCGACGGGAAACUUAAACAUGAGAAUUGGUUUUCAUUUAAUUUCUGGUUCUCUUUACACACAGUUUUCUCAUCAACCAAACGUGGGUUAAGUAUGCGCAAGAAACCUUGAUGAGAAUAUAAUUUUUUUUUUU